GACGAACGCUGGCGGCGUGCCUAACACAUGCAAGUCGAGCGGAGUCGAUCGACGGAAGCCUUCGGGCGGAAGAUGGUUGACUUAGCGGCGGAUGGGUGAGUAACGCGUGGGCAACCUGCCUCGAAGACCGGGAUAACAGCCCGAAAGGGCUGCUAAUACCGGAUGUGGUCAAGGAUCCGCAUGGAUUUUUGAUUAAAGGGGAAACCCGUUUCGAGAUGGGCCCGCGUCCUAUCAGCUAGUUGGUGAGGUAAAAGCUCACCAAGGCGACGACGGGUAGCCGGCCUGAGAGGGUGACCGGCCACACUGGAACUGAGACACGGUCCAGACUCCUACGGGGGGCAGCAGUGGGGAAUCUUCCACAAUGGGCGAAAGCCUGAUGGAGCGACGCCGCGUGAGCGAAGAAGGCCUUCGGGUUGUAAAGCUCUGUCUGGAGGGACGAAGGAAGUGACGGUACCUCCGGAGGAAGCCACGGCUAACUACGUGCCAGCAGCCGCGGUAAAAGUACGUACUAU
RNAcentral lists this ribosomal RNA (512 nucleotides) under uncultured bacterium. RNAcentral describes it as "bacterial SSU rRNA". It matches the Rfam family "Bacterial small subunit ribosomal RNA", at positions 28 to 533 of the family's 1533-position model. The record is from RNAcentral.